GACAGAGGAUGCAAGCGUUAUCCGGAUUCACUGGGUUUAAAGGGUGCGUAGGCGGGCAGGUAAGUCAGUGGUGAAAUCUCCGGGCUUAACCCGGAAAUUGCCGUUGAUACUAUUUGUCUUGAAUAUUGUGGAGGUAAGCGGAAUAUGUCAUGUAGCGGUGAAAUGCUUAGAUAUGACAUAGAACACCAAUUGCGAAGGCAGCUUACUACACAACGAUUGACGCUGAGGCACGAAAGCGUGGGGAUCAAACAGG
This 253-nucleotide ribosomal RNA is filed under the name uncultured bacterium. Its description in RNAcentral is "partial 16S ribosomal RNA". It matches the Rfam family "Bacterial small subunit ribosomal RNA", at positions 524 to 776 of the family's 1533-position model. The record is from RNAcentral.